GAGUUUGAUCCUGGCUCAGAUUGAACGCUGGCGGCAUGCCUUACACAUGCAAGUCGAACGGCAGCACGGGGAGCUUGGCUCUUGGUGGCGAGUGGCGAACGGGUGAAGUAAUACAUCGGAACGUACCCUGAAGUGGGGGAUAACGUAGCGAAAGUUACGCUAAUACCGCAUAUUCUGUGAGCAGGAAAGAGGGGGGAUCGCAAGACCUCUUGCUUUAGGAGCGGCCGAUGUCGGAUUAGCUAGUUGGUGAGGUAAAGGCUCACCAAGGCGACGAUCCGUAGCGGGUCUGAGAGGAUGAUCCGCCACACUGGGACUGAGACACGGCCCAGACUCCUACGGGAGGCAGCAGUGGGGAAUUUUGGACAAUGGGCGCAAGCCUGAUCCAGCCAUGCCGCGUGAGUGAAGAAGGCCUUCGGGUUGUAAAGCUCUUUCGGUGGGGAAGAAAUUGCUUCGGUUAAUACCUGGAGUAGAUGACGGUACCCGCAUAAGAAGCACCGGCUAACUACGUG
RNAcentral lists this ribosomal RNA (509 nucleotides) under uncultured bacterium. RNAcentral describes it as "bacterial SSU rRNA". It matches the Rfam family "Bacterial small subunit ribosomal RNA", at positions 9 to 507 of the family's 1533-position model. The record is from RNAcentral.